This 741-nucleotide unclassified non-coding RNA is filed under the name Hevea brasiliensis (rubber tree). The record is from RNAcentral. Lineage: Eukaryota; Viridiplantae; Streptophyta; Magnoliopsida; Malpighiales; Euphorbiaceae.
AAUAAAGAGAAUAAUGCAUUUUUAUAACUCAAGAUUGUUCUCAGCUAUAGAAUAGCCUCCUAACCAGUUCCACAUUAUGCAUAAAAGUUGAAGCACUAAUAAACAAGAGAGAUUGAUCAAAAGAUAGCAAUGAUUUUUACUAUCCCAACACAAAUAGUAGAAUUUUCAAAUUCAAAUUGCAAUUCCAAUAAAAUGGAGGGGUCUAAAAUAGCUCAAAGCUUUGACGGCUUUGGGAAGAUGUCAGGAGUGAAUUUUUGCGCUGCACUCAGGCUGCCCUUAAUCUUCAAAGUGCCCCUCAUGAAAGCUAUCUGGGGAUUCAAUUUUCCCUCAGCAAGCUUGACAAAAUCUUCAUCCUUGAGGGAAAAUGUGGCAUCGGGCUUGCCUCCUUCAUAUGGGCCUUUAUUAACCUCUCCUUUCUUGAGAUUAACAGUAUAUGAAACCUCAUCUAUCCCAAUUUUCUUGGGGGCGAUAUUGAACUGAUAGACGAGGUUGAUCUUCUUUCUAAGUUCAAUACCCUCGUCGGUCUCGAGGAAUCGCUUGAGGAGGUCAAAUACGGAUUCAGACUUGAGCUCCGUAGCCAUUGAUCCUAACAAGAUUGUAAAUUCUAGUGUUACAAGGAAGAUUGGAGCAUUUGAAUUUGAUAUGGAGGUCAGGUGAGGGUAUUAAAAAGAAGGGAGUUGCGAAUUUGGAAUGGAGGUUUAGGUGACGACAUUGAUUGCUGAUGGGUAGAUUAGGUGAUGC